This 434-nucleotide ribosomal RNA is filed under the name uncultured bacterium. RNAcentral's name for it is "partial 16S ribosomal RNA". It matches the Rfam family "Bacterial small subunit ribosomal RNA", at positions 29 to 507 of the family's 1533-position model. The record is from RNAcentral.
AGCGAACGCUGGCGGCAGGCCUAACACAUGCAAGUCGAACGAACCUUUCGGGGUUAGUGGCGGACGGGUGAGUAACACGUGGGAACGUGCCUUUAGGUUCGGAAUAACUCAGGGAAACUUGUGCUAAUACCGAAUGUGCCCUUCGGGGGAAAGAUUUAUCGCCUUUAGAGCGGCCCGCGUCUGAUUAGCUAGUUGGUUGAGGUAAUGGCUCACUAAGGCGACGAUCAGUAGCUGGUCUGAGAGGAUGAUCAGCCACAUUGGGACUGAGACACGGCCCAAACUCCUACGGGAGGCAGCAGUGGGGAAUCUUGCGCAAUGGGCGAAAGCCUGACGCAGCCAUGCCGCGUGAAUGAUGAAGGUCUUAGGAUUGUAAAAUUCUUUCACCGGGGACGAUAAUGACGGUACCCGGAGAAGAAGCCCCGGCUAACUUCGUG